Molecule: ribosomal RNA, 497 nt
Filed under: uncultured bacterium
Lineage: Bacteria
Description: partial 16S ribosomal RNA
Rfam family: Bacterial small subunit ribosomal RNA
Source: RNAcentral
GAUGAACGCUGGCGGCGUGCCUAAUACAUGCAAGUCGAGCGAACAGAUGAGGAGCUUGCUCCUCUGACGUUAGCGGCGGACGGGUGAGUAACACGUGGAUAACCUACCUAUAAGACUGGGAUAACUUCGGGAAACCGGAGCUAAUACCGGAUAAUAUAUUGAACCGCAUGGUUCAAUAGUGAAAGACGGUUUUGCUGUCACUUAUAGAUUGAUCCGCGCCGCAUUAGCUAGUUGGUAAGGUAACGGCUUACCAAGGCAACGAUGCGUAGCCGACCUGAGAGGGUGAUCGGCCACACUGGAACUGAGACACGGUCCAGACUCCUACGGGAGGCAGCAGUAGGGAAUCUUCCGCAAAGGGCGAAAGCCUGACGGAGCAACGCCGCGUGAGUGAUGAAGGUCUUCGGAUCGUAAAACUCUGUUAUUAGGGAAGAACAAAUGUGUAAGUAACUAUGCACGUCUUGACGGUACCUAAUCAGAAAGCCACGGCUAACUACGUG